Molecule: non-coding RNA, 961 nt
Organism: Paramormyrops kingsleyae
Lineage: Eukaryota; Metazoa; Chordata; Actinopteri; Osteoglossiformes; Mormyridae
Source: RefSeq, a predicted model, not a curated record
UUUAAGAGAGUGCAAAUUAUACUAGGAUGAGGAAACAGUAUUCGAGUGAGUGUUCCUGGCCUUACUGGUGAGGCGGGCUGCAGUGGGGAAGAAAUUGUCCCUAUGGUGUGAUGUUUUGGUCUCAAUGGACGCAACCUUCUGCCAGAGUCUGAAAGAGUUUGUGACCAGGGUGAGAGGAAUCAGCCAUAACCCUUCCUGCUCGUACAGGUCCUGUAAAGACGGAAGGUUGCAGCCGAUCGUCUUCCCGGCAGAGUGAAUGAUGCUCUGUUGAGCUUUUUUGGUGAGAGAGCAGAUGUUCAUCUCCCACUUGAGGUCCUUGCUGAUUAUGGUGCCGAGGAAGCGGAAGUAUUCCACAGCGGUGACUGUUGAGCCGAGCAGGAAGAUGGGUGGAGGUGGGGCAGAGCUUUUCCUGAAGUCCACAAUCAUCUCCACUGUCUUCAGGGCUUUGAGCUUAAGGUUGUUACUCAACAACACAAAUGUCCACAAAUACAUGUUUCUAUAUUUGGCAUUAUAAGCACAGAGAUGGACAUAAAUCUGUCCUGUCUUUCAGUCAUAAAGCUUUGAAAGGAUGGUGAGGUUAGCCUAAGAGAUGCCAUUUUCGAUGGUAAGUUUAAGGGCAUUCAAUAUAACUGUAGUUUUAUCGCCUUUUGCCCUAGAAAUUUUGUUUAGAAUUAACCAGCUUAGUUUGUGCAUGCAUCUAUUUCUCUAUAUAUACAUAUAACUUUUUUUAUGAAAGGGUCAAAGACAUACAACAUAACAAGAUGUAAUCGAAGUGUUGGAAAGGAGAGAGAAGAGAAGGAAAGGGAAAAAAUAAAAUCAACUCAAAAAAAGUAAGCAAAAAUAAUAAUACAAUCACAGAACCAUUAAGUGAUACCAUUUGGUGAAUAUGUACUGAAAUAUAAUUAAAAGAAUAAUAAAACAGAGGUAAAACAAUACAAAUAAACAACAAAUACAGAAGAAA